Molecule: long non-coding RNA, 1431 nt
Filed under: Numida meleagris (helmeted guineafowl)
Lineage: Eukaryota; Metazoa; Chordata; Aves; Galliformes; Numididae
Description: lncRNA (ENSNMEG00000009164.1)
Source: RNAcentral
CUCACCUAAGUAAUCACAAGAUAAAAUUGAAACAUCAGCAUCUGUAUUUACUGAUGAAGAUGCUUCAAAUCUAAAAGGAAUUGAGUUGAAUAUUUUAUAAUCAUAAUUGUACGAUCAGCAUCUCAUAUCAGUGGCAAAAUUAAUUUGCAGAUGCUCUCAGCCUGACACCAUUUUGCUGCCACAGUCAAGAUAAAACCUGAAAUAUCAGAACAUAUCUCCUCACCUCUCUUUCAAAUCAGCCUAAAAAAGAAAACAGCCAGAAAAGUCAAGCAGACAGAGGAGUCCUGCACUGACACAUUGCACCUGGAUGACAGAAGUAAGAGAAGUGACUGGAUAGUGCCUAAGGACCACAGAGGUGCAGCAGGGUGAUGAACAAACUGAAGGAUUAAGGCUUUAUGAGGAUACAGGGUAGAACCUAAGCUGAGCAAGUGCUGUCUGCCGCUGCUUAGGGCAGACCUGGUAUCACAGUUCCGCAUGGAGUCCUACGUAAGCUGCAUUAUCAGAAAGUCUACCUGCUUUUGUUCUGCAAUUCAGUGUAACCUAAGGGGACAAACUGUCCCGCUAAGAUUACAGAUGUUUGGUGAAUAUGCUGGGGUGCACAAGGAACAAGGAGCAAGCCAAGUCUUUCAGCUACCUCCUUAUCAUCUCCACCCACUGGCAGCUCAGACUGGACAAAAGAAAAGAGACCUCAAAUACUUGAGCUCAAGUAUUGAAUUCUUCAAAAUGUCAAGAAAUUUAACAGCAGAGAGGAGAGAAAUUAGUGGAGCCAGGGUAUUUUCAUCCAGGCUGAGGACAAAGUUUAGUAGGCAUUCAUCAUCGGACUUCAAAGAAUCAGUGCAGGCAAGACGUGCUACCAACUGAACUCUGUGCAUUCUGCUGCUUUGAGAACGAUGUUUUCAGCAUCUCUCUUCACUGCAUGGGAACUUUCUCCACCUUAUGAUAAAUUGUUUUUAAUCACUCUUAAAUUAUUGGUGACUUUCAGCUCGCUAAGUAAUUUUCAUGGUAUUGUGCAAUUAAUGUAUCAUUUUUCCCUUCACAGAUCUAGGAAAGCUUUUCUCAAAAAUAACAAUUAAAAUAGUUAUAAAUUCUUUACUAAGAAGCAAGUGUAAGUAAUUGCUUGCUGAUACUUUUAUUUUGCUUCUGAGACAUAUUUUUUUUCCAGCACCUUUUUUCCUGGAAAUAUAUUUACAUGGGAAUACUAGCAGCUCAACUAAUAUGAGAAGUGGUAAAAAUGUAAUUCCUCUAUAGCUGCUAUCCACCAGAUUCUGUUGAGUACCAGCCUAUAUAAUCCUCAAAAAUAUCAUGCUGAAACUGGAAUUACUCCUUAUAAUAUACGUAAGCUCUUUUAAAUAGUAAACUAAUAAUUCAAAAGGCCAUAGUAUAUAAGUACUUAAGAAUAAAGAAAACUUUUUUUGUGUGGGGGGGAAGAUC